GUGGGGAAUAUUGGACAAUGGGCGAAAGCCUGAUCCAGCCAUGCCGCGUGUGUGAAGAAGGUCUUCGGAUUGUAAAGCACUUUAAGUUGGGAGGAAGGGCAGUAAGUUAAUACCUUGCUGUUUUGACGUUACCGACAGAAUAAGCACCGGCUAACUUCGUGCCAGCAGCCGCGGUAAUACGAAGGGUGCAAGCGUUAAUCGGAAUUACUGGGCGUAAAGCGCGCGUAGGUGGUUUUGUAAGUUGGAGGUGAAAUCCCCGGGCUCAACCUGGGAACUGCAUCCAAAUCUGCAUGACUAGAGUACGGUAGAGGGUAGUGGAAUUUCCUGUGUAGCGGUGAAAUGCGUAGAUAUAGGAAGGAACACCAGUGGCGAAGGCGACUACCUGGACUGAUACUGACACUGAGGUGCGAAAGCGUGGGGAGCAAACAGGAUUAGAAACCCCGGUAGUCC
RNAcentral lists this ribosomal RNA (450 nucleotides) under uncultured bacterium. RNAcentral's name for it is "partial 16S ribosomal RNA". It matches the Rfam family "Bacterial small subunit ribosomal RNA", at positions 354 to 796 of the family's 1533-position model. The record is from RNAcentral.